RNAcentral lists this ribosomal RNA (422 nucleotides) under uncultured bacterium. RNAcentral describes it as "bacterial SSU rRNA". It matches the Rfam family "Bacterial small subunit ribosomal RNA", at positions 355 to 774 of the family's 1533-position model. The record is from RNAcentral.
UGAGGAAUAUUGGGCAAUGCCCGCAAGGGUGACCCAGCAACGCCGCGUGGAGGAUGAAUGUCGUAAGAUUGUAAACUCCUGUUAGAGGGGAAGAAUAGUACCGGUUGGACCGGUAUAUGACUGUACCCUCAGAGAAAGCCCCGGCUAACUACGUGCCAGCAGCCGCGGUAAUACGUAGGGGGCAAGCGUUGUCCGGAUUUACUGGGUGUAAAGGGCGCGCAGGCGGGAUAAAAAGUCAGUGGUGAAAUCCUACAGCUUAACUGUAGAACUGCCUUCGAUACUUUUAUUCUUGAGUUCGGGAGAGAGAGACGGAAUUCCAGGUGUAGUGGUGAAAUACGUAGAUAUCUGGAAGAACACCAGUUGCGAAGGCGGUCUCUUGGUCCGAUACUGACGCUGAGGCGCGAAAGCGUGGGGAGCAAACA